RNAcentral lists this small RNA (3500 nucleotides) under Rattus norvegicus (Norway rat). RNAcentral describes it as "uncharacterized LOC100911923". The record is from RNAcentral. Lineage: Eukaryota; Metazoa; Chordata; Mammalia; Rodentia; Muridae.
UUUAAGUAUGGACUUGAAUAUGACAGUCUUUUCACUGAUGUCCAGGGAAUUUCUACCUUACAGUGCCCGGGGAAUGGGAUCUGGGGCUAGCUUUCUUCCUGAGAAAACCAGUCCUGGCUUUUGGGAUAUGGCUUCUCAUAUCUUGAAAGUACUCUGAUAUUCUGAAAGGAUGGUUGGUUGACACUACUGAGAGUCUACAGGGAGUGUGGGAAGUUACUCUUAGCAAACCUCAUAUUUUGGAAAGACAGAACCCAGGAAAGUUUAAUAAUUCCUGUAGGGACAGGAGUGCAGGCUGAGGUUGUUCACGGGAUGCAGGUGCUGUUCAACUUCUAAGUGCGGGCUGAGUUUAAUUCAACCCCCUUGGCCAGCACAGGCCCAGACAGGGCCUGGCUCUUUCUAGUCACCAAGUUGCCCUGACUCCCUGCCUUCUAGCAGAAUAACAAUUCGGGGGCAAUGUAGCGCUUGCCUUAUCUUCUUUGGGCUAGUUGGAGUUUCAGAGCAAAUACAUUCUUCUCUAGCCGGCUUAGCUUAAAGUCUGUUUACUUGUCCCCAGGAUAGGUGAAUAUUCAGAGGGCUCUGGGAAUGAGACCCAACAAACUGGACUUUGGUCCUCUCUUGCCACCAAUCACUCUGAUUCCUCCAGCUCCUACCUAGGGGAAUGUGUCAGCUAUAGAAGCAAUCUUGGCAUGCAGACUGGGGCAUAUCUCUUUAGGAAACUAGGUGCUGGGCUCAAAGUGAGCUGGGUUUAAGGUUUUAGUCCCCACAGUUUGGGGACACAAGCCAUUCACACAGCCUGCAACUGGGUCAGCACCUAGGAGGCUUUCAAAAACUGGGGCUCAGAUUUGUUCUGACCUCCAAGUAAAAGAAAUAAACAUUCUAGAGAUGCCCUGACACUGAGAUGGUGGAAGAGGGGAAGUUUCCUCAGUGAGCUGUAGAACAAAUGCCCUAGAAACUGCCCCCUGACAAGUAUCCCACUCAACUCCAGGCCGCGAUGGUUCAGGCAGUGGGGGGAUUUUGCAGACAGCAUCCUCCUCUUUGCUCCUCUCCCCCACCCCACCCCAACCCCGCCGUGUAAACACGAGGACUUUCUCGAGAGCCCUGGAGAGCCGCUCUAGUGGCUUCGGGGCCUGAAACCCCAGGCUUGGCUUGUUUGAUGUUUAGCAUCCCAAAGCGGCUCCCCACCCCCGCCCCAGCCUGGGAACCCCGAGCUCCGGGGCCGAAGAGAAGGGGAAGCAGUUCUCUCAGCUGGAGGGCGGUGGAUUGGCUGGGCUUAGAGAAGUGGCGAAAACUACAGGACUCCCCGCCCUGAGCAGGGGAGAAAGGGAUCCCGGAAUGAUGCGGUCAUCCAUGAGGAUAUAGCUGGAGUCCUAAAGGCCAAGAGGCAGACGGGGAAAGAAAUGUCACAAUUUGGGGGAAUACACUGGAGAUAGGGGCCAGGUCGGUGGAAAUAGCUUGGGGCCACCGCGAAAACAAGGUAAGCGGUGUCUGGGUCCAGUUAGUGAGCAUCGAGAACGGCGUCCACGACUGCAGGGCUAUCAGGGCCUCGAGGAGACAGCGCUCCGUGCCACUGCUUAGUGCUUGGCCUUUCAUAGGGACGAACCUGCUUAGGAGUCUUCCAAGAGAUUUUUAAAUCCUCCGAGUCUGGACCUGGAAGCUCCAUUGGCGACGUUUGGAUCUGGCUUCGUAGUCUUUGAUUUCGAAAGCCCAGGAAGAUUCGCAGACUUUCAAGGCCGCACACACCGCAUUGCCGGGAGUCUGGGCGGCGGUGAGGACUGAGAAGCUGUCUCAAGACCUGAGUCUCUUCUCAGGCGAUCCCAGAUAAGAGGAGAGAGAGAGAGCUUUUCUGACUUCCAACUCAUUAGGGACCAGAUUUGCUCUCCAGCACAGCAAAAGGGUCUGCCUGUGACCCUCACCGAACUCACUCUUCACUGCUUUAUAGAGACCAUCAGACUCAGGACAAAUAUUCUAGUUUGGAUGCGCAAUUAAUAAUAAGAAGAUACAGGACAGAGGCGGACUGAAUGGCUCCAAUUCUCAGAAUGUGAAAGCGUAAAUCAGAACCUACUAUUUUGUAAAACCAACUUGGAAAACAAAAUUGUCAGAAGCAAAACAACAACAACAACAACAAUAAAAACCAAACCAACAACAAAACCAAGCAAGUCAGGCUGUUUUACCAAUAAAGGGGGCACUGAAUGGAAUCAGAGAUCUGAUAAGUGCCGGGAAGUUGGACUAAGAGGGACAGGAGACUUCGAAACUUCUCUGAAUACUGCUUUGCUGCUGACUUCCAAGGAGAUCUCACCAGAGCUGAGCUGAAGCCAGGACCAUAGUGUUAUUGACAUUACCCCCAGAGACAUGAAGAAACAUCUGCUGCCCCUAGAUAUGAAACCAACACAGACCAAACCAACUGUCAGUACUGCAAGUGGUCCACCCACCAAAGAGAUGGAACUCAACGUGGUAGAAUAGAAGCUGAGACAUGUGGACUUGACAGACUUGAGACUCGGCUAUUCAUCCCAGCUCUGAGAGCCCAUGCAGCUCAUUGAGCCUUCGCGACUCCUGGUUUUACUUUCAGCAAAAUGGAGAUAUUAAGGCUCCAGCAAGAAUUCCAUCUCUGUCUGUUUUAUUCCCACUGAAGAGAAAAAUGACUUUAAUGGCAACAACAAAUGCUUCACUUGUUAGCCUUUCUGUUCCCGACCCUGACACAAAUAAACUAAUAUUCCAUCUACCCGGCACCGGCCUGAGCUCUGGGAUCAGUACACGUCAACCUGAACCCGGAAGAGUUCCAAGUAUCUUUCCCCUUCUCUGUCAGGUUCGUGUUACCCUGAACCUGUGAGCUCAGAAGGAAUUUUCUGGUUUUCGGGAGACGGCAGCCAUUCAUCAUAGCUCUCCACCACUGACUGACUGAGAGUCAAUUAUCAUCAAACAUCCAUCUGCCCAUGAUGCUAAUUAUUCCUACUCCAUGAUUGAGGAUUUGGAGUCGGAGACUCACCUGCAAUAUUUGGAAUACCAGUGGAGAUCCAUAUCAACAUGGAAUUUAUACAGCAGCUGGUGCCAGUCACAGCUAAUGAUGAAACUUCAGCUUAAUAAAAAGACCCCCAACUGAGUACAACCAUCUCGAAGAAAGUGUACUUAUCAAACAGCUUUCAAUCAGUUCAAGAGAGACACCUUAAUUGUGAAGAGCAAGAACCGCACAGCAGUUGUCACCAUGCCAACUUCAGAUCAAUGGCACUUCCACUGCUCUUGGUACAUAUAGCCUUGCCUAUGUCCUUAACUGCACCAACAUCCUUCCUGUUGGGAUGAGAUCUUGUCAGCUGCUAGCGUGUGAUGAUGCCUUCGUUCAUUACAUUACUAUACCCCUUAGCAAAAUUUAAACGUGUAAUGAUAAAGGUCACUACCUUUUCCUUUAAUUAAGACCUCUAUUUCUUGUUACCAGAAACAAGUGCCUAUGACAUUUUGUAUUUUCAGAAAUUAUCCUGUUGAAAUAAAGCUACACAAACAAAAUAAAA